This 27-nucleotide non-coding RNA is filed under the name Bombyx mori (domestic silkworm). Lineage: Eukaryota; Metazoa; Arthropoda; Insecta; Lepidoptera; Bombycidae. The record is from RNAcentral.
UUCUUCAAUAAAUCGAUUGCAACGUGU